This 445-nucleotide ribosomal RNA is filed under the name uncultured bacterium. RNAcentral describes it as "partial 16S ribosomal RNA". It matches the Rfam family "Bacterial small subunit ribosomal RNA", at positions 331 to 793 of the family's 1533-position model. The record is from RNAcentral.
CCAGACUCCUACGGGAGGCAGCAGUGGGGAAUAUUGCACAAUGGGGGAGACCCUGAUGCAGCGACGCCGCGUGAGUGAGGAAGUAUUUCGGUAUGUAAAGCUCUAUCAGCAGGGAAGAAGAUGACGGUACCUGAGUAAGAAGCCCCGGCUAACUACGUGCCAGCAGCCGCGGUAAUACGUAGGGGGCAAGCGUUAUCCGGAUUUACUGGGUGUAAAGGGAGCGUAGACGGUGAGACAAGUCUGAAGUGAAAGCCCGGGGCCCAACCCCGGGACUGCUCUUGGAACUGCGCGGCUGGAGUGCAGGAGGGGCAGGCGGAAUUCCUAGUGUAGCGGUGAAAUGCGUAGAUAUUAGGAGGAACACCAGUGGCGAAGGCGGCCUGCUGGACGAUGACUGACGUUGAGGCUCGAAAGCGUGGGGAGCAAACAGGAUUAGAUACCCGUGUAA